AAUGAACGCUGGCGGCGUGGAUAAGACAUGCAAGUCGAACGAGGAACAGAUUAGCUUGCUAAGAUGUUCCUAGUGGCGGACGGGUUAGUAACACGUGAGUAACUUGCCUCAGAGUGGGGGAUAGUCCCGGGAAACUGGGUUUAAUACCGCAUAUGCUCCAAGGAGUAAAGAGGGCUUCGGCUCUUGCUUUGAGAUAGGCUCGCGUCCUAUCAGCUAGUUGGUGAGGUAACGGCUCACCAAGGCGACGACGGGUAGUUGGUCUGAGAGGACGACCAGCAACACUGGAACUGAGACACGGUCCAGACACCUACGGGUGGCAGCAGUCGAGAAUCAUUCACAAUGGGGGCAACCCUGAUGGUGCAACGCCGCGUGGAGGACGAAGGCCCUAGGGUCGUAAACUCCUGUCAUAAUAGAGUAAGGCAUACAAGUUAAGACCUUGUAUGUUUGAUAGUAUA
This 455-nucleotide ribosomal RNA is filed under the name uncultured bacterium. Its description in RNAcentral is "bacterial SSU rRNA". It matches the Rfam family "Bacterial small subunit ribosomal RNA", at positions 29 to 479 of the family's 1533-position model. The record is from RNAcentral.